RNAcentral lists this ribosomal RNA (482 nucleotides) under uncultured bacterium. RNAcentral's name for it is "partial 16S ribosomal RNA". It matches the Rfam family "Bacterial small subunit ribosomal RNA", at positions 30 to 507 of the family's 1533-position model. The record is from RNAcentral.
AUUGAACGCUGGCGGCAUGCCUUACACAUGCAAGUCGAACGGUAACGGGCCUUCGGGUGCCGACGAGUGGCGAACGGGUGAGUAAUACAUCGGAACGUGCCCGAUCGUGGGGGAUAACGAGGCGAAAGCUUUGCUAAUACCGCAUACGAUCUACGGAUGAAAGCAGGGGACCGCAAGGCCUUGCGCGGACGGAGCGGCCGAUGGCAGAUUAGGUAGUUGGUGGGAUAAAAGCUUACCAAGCCGACGAUCUGUAGCUGGUCUGAGAGGAUGAUCAGCCACACUGGGACUGAGACACGGCCCAGACUCCUACGGGAGGCAGCAGUGGGGAAUUUUGGACAAUGGGCGCAAGCCUGAUCCAGCCAUGCCGCGUGCAGGAUGAAGGCCUUCGGGUUGUAAACUGCUUUUGUACGGAACGAAAAGCCUUCUUUUAAUACAGGAGGGUCAUGACGGUACCGUAAGAAUAAGCCCCGGCUAACUACGUG